Molecule: ribosomal RNA, 253 nt
Filed under: uncultured bacterium
Lineage: Bacteria
Description: partial 16S ribosomal RNA
Rfam family: Bacterial small subunit ribosomal RNA
Source: RNAcentral
UACGUAGGGGGCAAGCGUUGUCCGGAAUCAUUGGGCGUAAAGAGCGUGUAGGCGGUCCGGUAAGUCGGUUGUGAAAGUCCAGGGCUCAACCCUGGGAUGCCGACCGAUACUGUCGGACUAGAGUCCGGAAGAGGCGAGUGGAAUUCCCGGUGUAGCGGUGAAAUGCGCAGAUAUCGGGAGGAACACCCAUGGCGAAGGCAGCUCGCUGGGACGUUACUGACGCUGAGACGCGAAAGCGUGGGGAGCAAACAGG